UUACCCAUAGAUAUAGGAGAUCUAGAUUGCUGACGCAUACCUAGCGCAGGCGGGGCCUACAUGAUAAAUCCAAGAUGGCGGUACAAGAGGGCAGAAAGACUAUAGAUUCUAUUACGGAAAUCAGGAUUUUUUGCAGUUUUUGCCGUCGCAUUGUUUCGAAACUUAUUCGGUCAAGUUUUAUGGUAAAGAGAAACUUACCGCGAAGAUUUUGAGCAUAUAUAUGAUUGAAUUGGAUGAAAACUCGCAAAAUUAUCCAUCGAUAAAAGUUCGUGUGAAAUGGUCACUUGGUC
Molecule: non-coding RNA, 290 nt
Organism: Paramuricea clavata
Lineage: Eukaryota; Metazoa; Cnidaria; Anthozoa; Malacalcyonacea; Plexauridae
Source: the annotation of a GenBank genome assembly